CAGUAACUCUUGCAGGCACUAUGUGAAUUCAUUUAUAGAAAUUAAUGCUUAAAUCACCAUUAAUACACACCACGCACAGUUUUAUUGGUUAUUCACUCUUAUUACUUGCUAAUGCAGACAAUACUGUCAUGUAGAAGUAAAUUAGACCUCAUAUACACACUGUAACAAAUUGCUGUAAAAAUACAGCAUAUUUUGUACAGUAAUAUACCGUUCUUUGUAAAUACAGCUGAAUACUGUAAAUUCACGUGUUUUUCAAGAACAAAAUAUUAACAGCAAGCUACCGUACAAUCUUACAGCAGAUUACAGUAUUUUUCUGGUUUGGGUUGAUUUGAGUGUGACUGUUGCUGCAGUCCGACUGUUACUGGUCUCGGCAAAUCUUCCUGCACAUCACCACAUUUAGCAAACAGCCAACACAAAGAAGUGACGAAAUAGGUUUAAAAUAUUCUGUAUCAGUGAUUUUACUCAUUACUGAGGGAAGAUGUGGAGAAAAGGAAGAACUGAGGACAACGAUUUUCGGGCCGGCUCAGACCUGCAGGGACCAUCUGUAGCUGAUCCAUCCUGCUCCGGUUCACUGAACAAGGCGCUUCCUUGGUAAUCAACCCUGAGAGGGGAACAAAGGCCAGCAAGGAGAUGUCCAAGAGGUCGGGGAGCUGCUCCAGAAAAAGACAUCUACUGUAAAUCCUCAUGUAGCCUCCUUUAUAAAAAGACUGAUGGACUCUGAGUGGGACUUCAUGUAAACCCACAACACCUCUCCACACAGGACCUCACUUUCACAAAGGAAAAGCCCCGUCUGCAACCAGAUGUUCAUACUGUCAUUCUAAGGUAACAAGUCUCAGUAUUGUGUUUGGUUCAGUAUAAAAUACGUCAGUCCUGGUGUCUCAGUUUUGUAGUUCCAGGUUUGUUCCAUGACUUGGUGUUUAUUGAACAUGAUCAAGAGUUAUGAAAGACUGAUUCUGAAGGCAGGGUACCUGAAAUGUGAUGUGCAAUUUUUAAACAGAUUGUUGACAACCUGUUAAAAAUCAUUAGUUGUUUUUAUAGAUUGUAUUUUACAAGACUUCAAUUUCUUGAAAUUUGUUAGUUGCUGAAUGUGUUCAAUGCAGUAUUAAAUAAUUUAAGUGAUAUAUAGGAAUCUUUUGUUACAGUUCAGGAAAAAUGGAAACCAAACUCAGUGUACCUGAACUAGAACAUGCACAAUGAGAACCUGUUCAGCAUGAGGAAAUGAUUGUAUGUUACUAAAAUUUAAUGGGUUAAAUAAGUCAGUUUUUGAACUAUGUUUGAUACAGUG
Amphiprion ocellaris (clown anemonefish) is the source of this 1285-nucleotide long non-coding RNA. Lineage: Eukaryota; Metazoa; Chordata; Actinopteri; Pomacentridae. The record is from Ensembl.